This 3548-nucleotide long non-coding RNA is filed under the name Sus scrofa (pig). Its description in RNAcentral is "lncRNA (ENSSSCG00065016467.1)". Lineage: Eukaryota; Metazoa; Chordata; Mammalia; Artiodactyla; Suidae. The record is from RNAcentral.
UCGCUCAGUGGGUUAAGGAUCUGGCGUUGCUGUGAGCUGUGGUGUAGGUCUCAGAUGCAGCUUGGAUCUGGCAUUGCUGUGCCUGUGGCAUAGGCUGGUGGCUAGAGCUCCAAUUUGACCCUUAGCCUGGGAACCUACAUAUGCCAUGGGUGCAGCUCUAAAGAGACAAAAAAGACACUCCCCCCAAAAAAAGGGCAAAAGAUCUAAAUAGACAUCCCCAAAGAAGACACACAGAUGGGCAAGAGACACAUGAAAAGAUGCUCAACAUAGUUAAUUAUUAGAGAAAUGCAAAUCAAAAUCACAGUGAGGUAUCAACUUACAUCAGUGAUAAUGGCUAUCAUCAAAAAGUCUACAAAUAAUAAACGCUGGAGAGGGUGUGGAGAAAAGAGAACCCCCCCUACAUUGUUGGUGGGAAUGUAAAUUGGUGCAGCCACUGUGGAAAACAGUAUGGAGCUUCUUUAAAAAACUAAAAACAGAACUACAAUAUGAUCCAGCAAUCCUACUCCUGGUUAUAUAUUUGAAAAGACGAAAGUUCUAAUUUGAAAAUAUACAUGAACCUCAAUGUUCACAGCAGCAGUAUUUAUCAUAACCAAGACAUGGAAACAAUCUCAGUGCCCAUCAACAGACAAUUUCCAUAAGAAGAGUGGGACACACACACAGAAUGGAAUAUUACUGAGCCAUAAAAAGGAAAUAUUGCUAUUUGCAGUAACAUAGAUGGAUCUUGAGAAUACUAUAUUUAAUGAAGUAGGUCAAAGACAAAUAUUACAUGGCAUCACUUAUAUGUAGAAUCUAAAAAAUACUACAAAUGAAUCUAUAUACAAAACAGAAACAAACUCACAGACAUAGAAAAGCACUAAAUACAUUAACUUGAGAUGUCUGGUUUUCUUUAGUUAACAUAAUGUGGAGUUCCCUUGUGACUUAGCAGGUUGAUCUGGCACUGUCACUGCGACAGCACAUGUCACUGCUGUGGCAUGGCUUUGAUCCCUGUCCCGGGAACUUCCACAUGCCACAGGCGAGGCUCAAAAAAAAAAAAUCCCCGGAGUUCCUGUCGUGGCGCAGUGGUUAACAAAUCCGACUAGGAACCAUGAGGUUGCGGGUUUGAUCCCUGGCCUUGCUCAGUGGGUUAACGAUCCGGCGUUGCCGUGAGCUGUGGUGUCGGUUGCAGACGCGGCUUGGAUCUGGCGUUGCUGUGGCUCUGGCGCAGGCCAGUGGCUACAGCUCCAAUUAGACCCCUAGCCUGGGAACUCCAUAUGCCGCGGGAGCAGCCCAAUAAAUGGCAAAAAAGGCCAAAAAAAAAAAAAAAAUCCCCAAAACCCCAGUAAUCUUCCCCACACCACCCCCACACCCACAGCAUGCAGAAGUUUCUGGGCUGGGGAUCGAAUCCAUGCCACAGCAGUGACCAGUGCACAGCAGUAACCAGAGCCACAGCAAUGGCAAUGUCAGAUCCUUAACCUGCUGAGCCGCCAUGGAACUCCUUAACAGUAAUUUUUUUUUAAUGAUUUUUAUUUUUUCCAUUACACUUGGUUUACAGCUUAACAGUAAUCUCUUGAAAUUCUGACUACUUGGUAUUUUGUUUGUUUGUUUUUUGUUUUUGCUUUUUAGGGCCGCACACGUGGCAUAUGGAAGUUGCCAGACUAGGGGAGUCGAAUGGGAAUUACAGCUGCCAGACUACACCACAGCCACAGCAACGCCAGAUCUGAGCCGUGACUGGGACCUACACCACAGCUCACGGCAACCCCAGAUCCUUAACCCACUGCCCAGGGCCAGGGAUCAAACCCAUAUCCUCACGUAUCCUAAUCACACUCAUUACCGCUGAGCCACAAUGGGAACUCCCCUGAUGACCUGGUUUUUGUGGCAAAAACUCCCAAGUAUCUUGGAUCCUACCUUGCCUCUUCUGAGCAGUCCCUCAAAGCUGAGAGAGUGCCUCCUAGGCCUGAAGUCCACAGAAAGUCCACCAAAUGAAACAUUAAUUCUCAAUUUUUACUUUGUGCAUUUUUUUCAGUCAGCACUAUAAUGAAAAUAAUCUGGAAAAAAAAAUAAAACAAUCACUUCCAUACACCUGAAACUAACACAAUAUUACAACUCAACUAUACUUCAAUAAAAAAAAAAAGUCAAAGGUAAAUCAAUUUCCAGAAAGGCUUUGGAUUUGAUCCAAUUUGUUUAAUUUAUUUGGUUGUUGCACUGCCAAAAUUACCAAUGAACUCAAUAACCUCUAAAUGUCAGAAGAGAAAGAGACAGUUUAUCUUGAGUGUUUAGAAUCUUGUUUUUUUUUUCCCCCACAGAAAUAGCACCAUACACUUUUGCCAAAGAACCAAUUUUUCAAUUAACUCGAUUGCUUAAAAACAUGUGGGCAACAGAAUGUGUAUUCAUCAAUAUCUACCAUGUGCCACAUGUUAAGCCUGGCUCAGUAAAUACAAAGAAUAUGAAAAACUGGAUUCUGUACUCUUUCAAUUUAGUCAGGGAGCAAAGAUAAGAGCAAAUUUUACUUUAACGUAAAGCUCAUACAGUAUGUCUUCUAAUUUUCCCAUUUUUAUUUCUUCUCUUAUAAAAAUGUACUCAAAUUCAUUUAAGAAGCAUUGAUUUCAGGAGUUCUUGUGGCUCAGCAGAAACAAAUCCGACUAGUAGCCAUGAGGAUACGGGUUCUAUCCCUGGCCUCGCUCAGUGGGUUGGUGAUCUGGUGUUGCCUUGAGCUGCAGUGUAGGUCACAGACAAGGCUGGAAUCCUGCAUUGCUGUGGCUGUGGUAUAGACUGGCAGUUACAGCUCCAAUUCCAUCCUCAGCCCAGGAACUUCCAUAUGCCUUGGGUGUGGCCCUAAAAAAAAAGUAUUGAUUUCAUUCUAUGUGCCAAUCGCUUUGAUGCAAAACAGGCUCCUACUAUCAUGGAUCUUUCAUUUUAGUAACUGGAAAAAGAGAAAGAGGGAGAAAUAAUUACUUUAGAUCAUGAUUGAUAAGUGCUAUGAAAACAUGGUGAGUGACUGGGGAACUAUUUUAAUUGGGUAACUGAGGAAGGCCCUUUAGAUGUGGUGACACCAGCUGCAACCACAGAGAAGAAGUCAUGUGACCAUCUGGAGGAACAGUGUUCUAGAAGAAGGAACAGCAAUUACAAAGGCCCUGAGCCCAGAACCAGCUUAUCAUGUUCCAAGAGCAAAAUGAAUGUUAAUUACUGUUAAUGACCUUAGGGAUAUAUUUGGGAGUAUAAAGGUUUAUGAGCCAAAGACUCUGUCCCAAAGAAGCUCUAAGCAAAAAGAUCACAAUAUAGUGGCAGAACAUUUGUAGUGACAGAAGUUCUCACAAAAGAAAGAGGUACUAAAAAGGAGGUAUAAUUAAUUUUCUGAGGUGUAUUUCAGAGAAGGGUUCACAUGGGAGGAAAUAUAAAAGCAAGAUUUGGAAAUAUCAAUAGCAUUGACAACACAGGCAGAAGGGUUGUGCUAGGAAAAACAACAUACAGGGAACUGAGUACAAAGGGCUGCAGGCUGUUUCUUACAGUGAACACCAAAACAGAAGAAAAGAGUUCCCUGGUAGCUCAGUGGGUUAUGACCUGGCAUGACA